GGAGGGGACCCCACCCAUUUUCUGCAUGGCAUGGAGCCAUGUCCUUUGUUACCUUCAUGAUCCAUACAUAGAGGGCCAUUACCAAGAAACUCGUCUGACUUUUUCAACAAUUUGAAUCCUUGCUUAGAUUUGAAUACUUGCUGUAUUCAGAGAUUAGAAGGGCCUGAGGCAUAUAGCCUACUGCCCCCACCCCCCACUCCACAACUCAUAACAAGAUUUUAUUCUUCAUUAUAUUUGUAUCUUUCCCUUCCUCCAGCAUCUUCAAGGUAUUGUACAAGGCAAGGUAAUUUGCACAUAUGGAGCAGAUUUUUUUUUUUUUAAAUUAACCUCAUACAACAUUCCUUGCAAGCUGCUUUCACAGGUGGAAGGUUAUUUUUGAGUGUAAAAUAGCUUCUCUGGAGGAGGGCCAUUUUGACACUAUCUCCAAAGAACCAUUUCAAGGCAAGGCCAAAUCAAUAGCAAGCCAACUAGGAGAGUUUGACUAAAGACACAGCUUGACCUCAGUAAUCCAAAACCCAAAUUAUAGGGUCUAAUCAUAGCAAUAGUCUUUCCUGUCAUGUAUCUCUGGAAUUAAACAAAGGUAUCACUAAGUAGAAUCUUCGCAUACUGUUCUCACGUUUAAUUCAGUACUAUAUACCAUAAGGGAUAAGUCUCAAGUCAGAUGUAAUCUGAUAAAAGGGGGAAAUGAGAUCUGUUUGAAUACCAUAUAUUUUUUUUGCAGAAGGAUCAAGGAUGUUCCCUUGUUCUUGUUUUUAGAGCAAAUGGUGUUGAAGGCUUGAGAUAAAUACACAAAGCUAAUUAUGUUUCCCAAACUUACACUAUAAUUCUUGUCUUGUCAGAAGAAUUGUCUGCAUAUAUAAAAGGGACUGGAAAAGAGCAUAUCCCCACAGUAUUUUCAUUAUUUCUGGCUCUACACAUUUAGCUUGCAGCAGUGAUAUUUUUUUUAGCCAGUAUGUCCAUCCAUGAGAAACUUGACUUAAAUGACAGUGUCUGCUCCUUUCAUCAUUGUACAGCAUUUACCCUAGUUGGCCCAUACAUUUCUGCAGAGUUUCUACAGAGUAGUGAAUCUCAGUCAGCCAUAAUUCAUCAACUGUGGAAAAUAGUUUUGCUUGCCUAUCUUCUGUGGGACAACCAGUGUCAUAUAACAAAAACACUUGUCUAAUUAACACAUGAAGGGGUUAAGACCAUAGAGUCACCUGUCUUGCCAGGCUUAGCUGGGUCACUCCCCCUCACCUUGAGAGGAAGGUAAUCAAGCCUAUUGUUCUCUUCCCAGUCUACAUGAGAAGCUCAGCAUGUAAAGAGGUCUGAGCUGGUUCCUCCAAGCUCAGACCACAUGGCCCUAACAAGCCAUUCUUGUGUUUAUAUAACAAUAAGUAAGUAGCUUUCACCACUGUAACUAAGCCAGGUUUUACUGCCUAUGUUUUCUGACUGAUGUAUGGAAAAGCACACGGACCUGACCUCUUAAACAUUAUUUUAACAUUUCUUAUGUACCUGGGAGUAGUUCCUCAAGCCUUCACUUACAAGGUCCUUUGAACAAGAAGGUUACUUCUGCUUCCCACUCACCACCACAAUAUCUGUUAGAUUUGUCCAUAGCUGGGUCAGGUGGGGUGGGAAGAACAGGAGAAGUCACUUGCCCACAGAAAGAAGGAAGGAAAACAACAAGGGAACAUAUGAUAUAACAUAAAACAACAAGGGAACAUAUAAGGUUGACUUACACCAGGUGAAACUAUUGGCCCAUGUAGCCCGGUACAGUCUAAUUGACUGACAACAGCUCUACACUGCCUCAGGUAGAGUACUCUACUAGCACUGAGAUCCUUAAAAACUGUGGAGCUACCACUGAGCUGUGGCGGCUUUCUUCCUCCAAUAAAAACAUUAUUACUGUGAGGAUGAGUAGGAAACGGCUAUAGUGUCUCUUAGCAUAGGCUAAGGGAAGGUUGAAUGGAGACACUUCCUCCACAGUGUCUUUCAGACAUAGUGGCUUUCAGAAUUAGUAGCCACUACAGAGGCCUGGAGGCUUCUAUAGAUGUGGUGUCUUAUUAAGAGGCUUACAUGAGAAUUAGAGAUGGGGGGUCUGUGGCCCUUCAAAUAUUGCUGGAGUCCAUCUCCCAUUAGCUCCAGCCACAUAGGUGCUAACUCCCUGGGGUCCUGAGUGCCCCAGCAUCCAUGAGGGGGCUGGGCACCCACAAAUUUUGAUACCUGGGGCCAUGCACACUGUAUGGCACCCAUGGCCCUGGGCACCCACCGUUACAGGGCCAAGCUGGCACUCCUGUCCAGCCAGCAAGGCUAGUGAUCAGGGAUGAUGGUAGUUGUAGUAGUACAACAUCACCUGGGGGACAACAUGUUUUCCCACCCUUGAUCUGAAGCAGUCCUAAAAGUAUGGAGUAUUUAUCAAACCAUUUUGAUAAAUAAAGACUUUGUCCUGUAUACUGAGCCCUUUGCCGUUUGUAAAGCUGGCAAGAAUCCUGUUAAUGUUAUUUCUUGAGCCAAAUCCCUGGGCACAUCAAGCUGAGGUUUGAACUUUGUGCCUCAGGGCCCUCUCCACCAGUUAUGCAUGAUUAUGCAGGUCUAUUCUCCAAGGGUUUUGCUGAGGUACAAUAGAAUAUAUCAACUUUAGAGCUUAUUUUAUUAUUCUGUUAAAGUCUUAAUGAAUAUUUCCUUCUAAAGCAUGUGCCUAAACAGUAAUUCUUUUUUCUCAGUAAAAAUAAUAUUACAUUAAUUCUUGCCAUGGGAAUAUGUUAGCGAACAUGUUUGCUGUAGGUAAUCCAGUUAUGGAUACGAAUUUCUGGACAAGUAGCAGCACAUGGCACAGAAAAGGUCAAAAUCAUUUGAGGUAUAAAAGUUGUGUUUAACUGAGCAAUGCAGAAAUGAGAUUCAUUACUUGCAAUUAAUCCUCAAGGUUCCUGAAUGUCAACUUACAAAGGCAGCAGUAGAUGCGGUUCAUGGGAGGUAAUUAAUAUUUGUUAUUGCACUCUUUUUAAAAGACUGCAGUUGAAAGGACUAGCCUGUGUCUGUUUACGACCAAGGCAAUUUAUUUUUGUGAUAGUAUUCUCUACAAAGCCAUAAAAAACAUUUUCCUGAUAAAGGUGCCUACAGUUUGGUAGCAAUUAUGGUCUCCCUUUGUUGUUUUCUUAUGAUUAGUACAUGCUUUUUUAAUUAAAUGGUAUUAAUUCAUAAAUAUAAAUCAACAUAUAUACCAGGUCAGGGCAAAACCUGGCAGAUCAGAUUGGAGCAUGGAGGAUAUUGAGUUAAAACAAAUGUCAAAAUCUCUGUCAGGCCAGAAAUGAAGCUUGUUGGCUUUUCAGACCUUGAUAGCUAGGUGCCCACUGCAAAGCAUUUUUAUUGUUGCAGGUAGUAAAAUAUAAUGGUUGAUCAGCCACUACAAUAGCUAUGUCUCUGACUAAGAAAAGGCCCAGUGCAUAUAGAAUAUCUGGGGCAAAUUCUUAAAGUUGUGUGUAUGUGCAUGUCAGUUAUUCAGACUAAAAAACAUAAAAUAGUUAAGGAGUACCCUAUCAGUGUUGCUAUUUUUGUCGUCAUUAGGUUCAUAUUAGCAACAUGAUGUGGUGAUAGUUUAAGUUAGUGUAGCUCUGAAUCCAAAGCUUCCUCAUGCAACUGGAAAUGCACUUCCAUUCACACAAGUAAAGGUAAAGGACCCCUGACAGUUAAGUCCAGUUGCAGACGACUCUGGGGUUGCGGCGCUCAUCUCGCUUUACAGGCCGAGGGAGCCGACGUUUGUCCGCAGACAGUUUUUCCGGGUCAUGUGGCCAGCAUGACUAAGCCGCUUCUGGCGCAACGGAACACCGAAACCAGAGCAGCACACAGACACACCAUUUACCUUCCCGCCAGAGCAGUACCUAUUUGUCUACUUGCAUUUUUGGCGUGCUUUCGAACUGCUAGGUUGGCAGGAGCAGGGACUGAGCAACGGGAGCUCACCCCGUCGUGGGGAUUUGAACCGCCGACCUUCUGAUCGGCAAGCCCAAGAGGCUCAGUGGUUUAGACCACAGCGCCAAAGCAGUCCCCAAUUCUCUCCUCCUGCUGAAGCUUUCCAUGUCACAUUCCACUCUGUUCUGGAUGGUUUAAUUUGGGAGUGGAGAGUCUGUAGGAAGGUGGAGGGGAUAGGAAAGUUCUGCUGCAUGGGUGUUCACUCGUGCAUCUUUGGAUCCAAGCCACUGAAUUCAUAUCUGAAAGAAAAAGGGGAAAAGCGAGUUCUGUACAGUGCCGUCUCAUUCCCCAGUUCUUCUUGUUGUUUGGGAGGCCUGAUUGGUAGAGCACAUGGUUUGCAUUCGGUAAGCCCCUGGUUAAUUUCUGUUUGAAAGUGUCUCAGCCAGUUGCAGGGCUAGCGGAGGCCAGUGCCUGAGAUCUUAGAAAGGCGUUGCUAGCCUGAACAGUUGCGCAACGGACUAGGUUGACCAAUGGUCUGACUCCAUAUAAGGCAGCUUCAUAAGGUCGAUUCAGGAUGAAUAGAAAUCUGAGCUGAACUGAAAUGAUGAGAAUUAUCAAGACCUUUAUUGGGGUGGAGAAAAUGGAAAAACCUACCGCCACUGAGGUUUUGUCUCCUCACAUUUCCUUUCACACACACACACCAUUGGAGCAAUUCUGCAGCUGUUUCUCUCUUUCAGAUUUAUGGCUGCAACAUGUGUUAGGGAGGGCAGUUUUAGCUGAGGAUGCUGAGACAUUAUCUUUCAAUUUUCUACCUGGUAAUCAUCCUCCAUGUCUUUGUAUUCCUGAAAGUGAUGCUGUGGCAGUGACUUCCUUUGAAGGUUUCCAUGGCCUUUUCUCAUUUUCUUAAGUCACGUGAAGGCAAAAUGCAUAAUGAAGAAAGCAGCACUUCAUCCAAAAAGCAUACUGAGCAGUUAGGGCGAGCAUGAAAACACUGAAUGAAUUUGUCACAGCUAGCAGUGUAAAAUGAAAACUCUUGUGGCAACUGUUCUUACCAAAUAAGGAACAACUGGGCUGGAUAAUAUUUCUUCACUAAAUAUGGAAAGAACCCCUCUCCAAACCAACCCUCUCCAUAUACAUAUACUGAGAUGAGAUUUCAUAGGAAAGCUGGAAAAAGACUUUGUGGUUAACCUUUUUUAAAAAGGGGGGAGGAAUAACCCAGUGGUUUGAUGUUUUCCAUUAUCUUCUAACAAGAGAGAAAUAAUAAACUUUCUUUAAAAAAAAAAAAUCAACAUUCAGUGAAGUAAACAAAUCUUCUCUUUCGGUGGUACAAAAGCAUAUGUGGCCUUGUUUGCUAUUUAAUCUCAGCGAAUUCACUGUCAAGUUUUUUUUCCUCCCCCUCCUCAUCUUGCUGCAGGGAAAUAAGAAGUGGGAAGAAUAG
This is a non-coding RNA of Podarcis lilfordi (Lilford's wall lizard), 5317 nucleotides long. The record is from the annotation of a GenBank genome assembly. Lineage: Eukaryota; Metazoa; Chordata; Lepidosauria; Squamata; Lacertidae.